Molecule: long non-coding RNA, 492 nt
Organism: Amphimedon queenslandica
Lineage: Eukaryota; Metazoa; Porifera; Demospongiae; Haplosclerida; Niphatidae
Exons: 4
Source: RefSeq, a predicted model, not a curated record
AAUUCCAUUCCUAGUUUGAUUGAAGAGGCUGUACAGUGUAUGCUGCUAGUUGCUUCUAGUUCAGAUACAUUAAGAACUCUGACUAAAAAGACUGUGAAAAGUAUUUUAUCAAAAAAGGAUUCAUUUCUACCAGCACUGCAGGAACUAAGCACCCAUACUGACUCAUCCUACCUGUUGAGACCAAUAUUCAGGACAAUACUUCCAUCAAUUGACUUUGAGGGGGUCUGAAACUAAAGCAGAGGGUCUGGGACAGGUUUUAUAUGAUUUAUCCAGUAAGACUGCAUUAGAGGCAGCGACUGUUUCAUAUAAUUAUUACAAAGGAUUUAUUGGAGCAGUUCUGUACUAGUAAUAAAAGUGGUAAAAAGUCAGCUGCUAUGAAAUAUCCUUUUUUAACUGAAGUAGUACAAGCAUUGACUAACAAUUAUCCUUGAACAAUGAUGUCCUUAAUUUCUAUCAUCACGACACUUCUGUACGACUAUCGGCCGUCAAAUC